AGGACCAGGAGGCAGAGUUCAGGGGACCCGAGGAAGCAUGUGAGCCCCUUUAGGAUCUGCAAAGUUGUGGAGGCUGAGCUUGAACUUGCCUUGAAUAUCCCCCUGCCUCAGCCUCCUGAGAAGCUGGGAUUAUAGAUCUGUGCCACCCGGCCCAGAAGGAAAAGGCUUUUUGAUGACCACGUAUUUGCAUGUUUCCUUCCAAGUCCUGAGGUCCUGGGGCUCAUGAAUAAUAUCCCCUAUGUCUGGGAAGGGGAAGACAUUUCCUCGUGGGAAACCAAAGCUCACUCCCAGGCUCCACCUUUGCCCAAGUCUACCCAUCAGUUCUUUAGAGAUCAUCAAAAGGACCCUCCCCUAGAUGGGCCUCCACCACCUGGACCCACAGAGAAGGGAUGGAGAAACGAGAAGGAAGCAGCGCGGGGCUAGGUUUCCUUUGAAAUCCUGGUUUGUGCCAAGGAAAAAGAAGAAAUGGAUACCUCACUGGAUUCUGGGCUCCUUCACCCAGAAUGCUAGCAACAUUUCCACAGCUUUAGCUCUACACUUCUCAUCCUGGCUUCUAGUCUCAGUUCUGACACUAAUUUUCUCUGUGAAUUA
This is a long non-coding RNA of Sciurus carolinensis (gray squirrel), 591 nucleotides long. RefSeq lists it as uncharacterized. NCBI's taxonomy places the organism in Eukaryota, Metazoa, Chordata, Mammalia, Rodentia, Sciuridae. The transcript is spliced from 3 exons. The record is from RefSeq and is a predicted model, not a curated record.